CCUACGGGGGGCAGCAGUGAGGAAUAUUGGUCAAUGGACGAAAGUCUGAACCAGCCAAGUAGCGUGAAGGAUGACUGCCCUCUGGGUUGUAAACUUCUUUUAUAAAGGAAUAAAACGAGGCACGUGUGCCUUUUUGCAUGUACUUUAUGAAUAAGGAUCGGCUAACUCCGUGCCAGCCGCCGCGGUAAUACGGAGGAUCCGAGCGUUAUCCGGAUUUAUUGGGUUUAAAGGGAGCGUAGAUGGGUUGUUAAGUCAGUUGUGAAAGUUUGCGGCUCAACCGUAAAAUUGCAAUUGAUACUGGCAGUCUUGAGUACAGUUGAGGUAGGCGGAAUUCGUGGUGUAGCGGUGAAAUGCUUAGAUAUCACGAAGAACCCCGAUUGCGAAGGCAGCUUACUAAACUGUGACUGACAUUGAUGCUCGAAAGUGUGGGUAUCAAACAGGAUUAGAUACCCUUGUAGUC
RNAcentral lists this ribosomal RNA (460 nucleotides) under uncultured bacterium. RNAcentral's name for it is "partial 16S ribosomal RNA". It matches the Rfam family "Bacterial small subunit ribosomal RNA", at positions 338 to 795 of the family's 1533-position model. The record is from RNAcentral.